AGCGAACGCUGGCGGCAGGCCUAACACAUGCAAGUCGAACGAACCUUUCGGGGUUAGUGGCGGACGGGUGAGUAACACGUGGGAACGUGCCUUUAGGUUCGGAAUAACUCAGGGAAACUUGUGCUAAUACCGAAUGUGCCCUUCGGGGGAAAGAUUUAUCGCCUUUAGAGCGGCCCGCGUCUGCUUAGCUAGUUGGUUGAGGUAAUGGCUCACCAAGGCGACGAUCAGUAGCUGGUCUGAGAGGAUGAUCAGCCACAUUGGGACUGAGACACGGCCCAAACUCCUACGGGAGGCAGCAGUGGGGAAUCUUGCGCAAUGGGCGAAAGCCUGACGCAGCCAGGCCGCGUAAAUGAUGAAGGUCUUAGGAUUGUAAAAUUCUUUCACCGGGGACGAUAAUGACGGUACCCGGAGAAGAAGCCCCGGCUAACUUCGUG
This 434-nucleotide ribosomal RNA is filed under the name uncultured bacterium. RNAcentral describes it as "partial 16S ribosomal RNA". It matches the Rfam family "Bacterial small subunit ribosomal RNA", at positions 29 to 507 of the family's 1533-position model. The record is from RNAcentral.